UGACCUCAAAUCGGGUGAGACUACCCGCUGAACUUGACCUCAAAUCGGGUGAGACUACCCGCUGAACUUAAGCAUAUCAAUAAGCGGAGGAAAAGAAACUAACAAGGAUUCCCCUAGUAACUGCGAGUGAAGCGGGAAAAGCUCAAAUUUAAAAUCUGGUGGCUUUUCUGCCAUCCGAGUGUAAUAGAGAAGCGACACCGCA
This 202-nucleotide ribosomal RNA is filed under the name uncultured Russula. RNAcentral describes it as "partial 28S ribosomal RNA". The stretch from base 35 to 202 matches the Rfam family "Eukaryotic large subunit ribosomal RNA", at positions 1 to 166 of the family's 3401-position model. Lineage: Eukaryota; Fungi; Basidiomycota; Agaricomycetes; Russulales; Russulaceae. The record is from RNAcentral.